This 253-nucleotide ribosomal RNA is filed under the name uncultured bacterium. RNAcentral describes it as "partial 16S ribosomal RNA". It matches the Rfam family "Bacterial small subunit ribosomal RNA", at positions 524 to 776 of the family's 1533-position model. The record is from RNAcentral.
UACGUAGGGUGCAAGCGUUAAUCGGAAUUACUGGGCGUAAAGCGUGCGCAGGCGGUUUUGUAAGUCUGUCGUGAAAGCCCCGGGCUCAACCUGGGAAUGGCAUUGGAAACUGGCUUGCUCGAGUGCGGCAGAGGGGGGUGGAAUUCCGCGUGUAGCAGUGAAAUGCGUAGAGAUGCGGAGGAACACCGAUGGCGAAGGCAGCCCCCUGGGUCGACACUGACGCUCAGGCACGAAAGCGUGGGGAGCAAACAGG